UACGUAGGGUGCAAGCGUUGUCCGGAAUUAUUGGGCGUAAAGAGCUCGUAGGCGGUCUGUCGCGUCUGCUGUGAAAUCCCGAGGCUCAACCUCGGGCCUGCAGUGGGUACGGGCAGACUAGAGUGCGGUAGGGGAGAUUGGAAUUCCUGGUGUAGCGGUGGAAUGCGCAGAUAUCAGGAGGAACACCGAUGGCGAAGGCAGAUCUCUGGGCCGUAACUGACGCUGAGGAGCGAAAGCGUGGGGAGCGAACAGG
RNAcentral lists this ribosomal RNA (253 nucleotides) under uncultured bacterium. RNAcentral's name for it is "partial 16S ribosomal RNA". It matches the Rfam family "Bacterial small subunit ribosomal RNA", at positions 524 to 776 of the family's 1533-position model. The record is from RNAcentral.